Rhodamnia argentea is the source of this 172-nucleotide long non-coding RNA. RefSeq lists it as uncharacterized. The record is from RefSeq and is a predicted model, not a curated record. NCBI's taxonomy places the organism in Eukaryota, Viridiplantae, Streptophyta, Magnoliopsida, Myrtales, Myrtaceae. The transcript has 3 exons.
UCAUGAAUCAUCCAAAAUUAUUGCACAGAAGACGACUGUUGCUGCUUUGCGCCAUAUUAGACAAAUAGCCCAAGAAACUAGUGGGGAGAUUCAGUAUGGAGGAAGCCAACAGCCUGCAGUCUAGUCAGAAAUUGUGCAGGGGGUUUAAUGAUGCUGUGAGUGGAUUGGUGGA